CCUACGUGUGGCUGCAGUGAGGAAUAUUGGUCAAUGGGCGGUAGCCUGAACCAGCCAAGUAGCGUGAAGGAUGACUGCCCUAUGGGUUGUCAACUUCUUUUAUAUGGGGAUACCGUGCAGUAUGUAUACUGCUUUGCAUGUACCUUAUGAAUAAGGAUCGGCUUACUCCGUGCCAGCAGCCGCGGUAAUACGGAGGAUCCGAGCGUUAUCCGGAUUUAUUGGGGUUAAAGGGCGCGUAGGCGGGUUGUUAAGGUCGUUGUGAAAGUUUGCGGCUCAAACGUAAAAUUGCAGUUGAUACUGGCAGCCUUGAGUACAGUAGAGGUAGGCGGAAUUCGUGGUGUAGCGGUGAAAUGCUUAGAUAUCACGAAGAACUCCGAUUGCGAAGGCAGCCUGCUGGACUGUAACUGACGCUGAGGCUCGAAAGUGUGGGUAUCAAACAGGAUUAGAUACCCUUGUAGUC
RNAcentral lists this ribosomal RNA (460 nucleotides) under uncultured bacterium. Its description in RNAcentral is "partial 16S ribosomal RNA". It matches the Rfam family "Bacterial small subunit ribosomal RNA", at positions 338 to 795 of the family's 1533-position model. The record is from RNAcentral.